Molecule: small RNA, 1473 nt
Filed under: Pan troglodytes (chimpanzee)
Lineage: Eukaryota; Metazoa; Chordata; Mammalia; Primates; Hominidae
Description: retained intron
Source: RNAcentral
AGCAGCAGCCGCGGAGCAGUAGCCGCCGUGGGAGGGAGCCAUGAAGCAUUACGAGGUGGAGAUUCUGGAUGCAAAGACAAGGGAGAAGCUGUGUUUCUUGGACAAGGUGGAGCCCCAUGCCACCAUUGCGGAGAUCAAGAACCUCUUCACUAAGACCCAUCCGCAGUGGUACCCCGCCCGCCAGUCCCUCCGCCUGGACCCCAAGGGCAAGUCCCUGAAGGAUGAGGAUGUUCUGCAGAAGCUGCCCGUGGGCACCACGGCCACACUGUACUUCCGGGACCUGGGGGCCCAGAUCAGCUGGGUGACGGUGAGUCCUGACCCUACCCACAGCCUCUUUUCCCGUCAGCCACAUUGGGUGACUCAUCUUGCCCCCCUCUACUUUCAGGUCUUCCUAACAGAGUACGCGGGGCCCCUUUUCAUCUACCUGCUCUUCUACUUCCGAGUGCCCUUCAUCUAUGGCCACAAAUAUGACUUUACGUCCAGUCGGCAUACAGUGGUGCACCUCGCCUGCAUCUGUCACUCAUUCCACUACAUCAAGCGCCUGCUGGAGACGCUCUUCGUGCACCGCUUCUCCCAUGGCACUAUGCCUUUGCGCAACAUCUUCAAGAACUGCACCUACUACUGGGGCUUCGCCGCGUGGAUGGCCUAUUACAUCAAUCACCCUCUCUACACUCCCCCUAGUAAGUGGCCUCAGACCAUCCUUCCCUCCUCCACGGUCCCCACCCAGCGGGUCCUCCUCUCAUGGGCUCCCCUCCCUGCUUUCUCUUCAGCCUACGGAGCUCAGCAGGUGAAACUGGCGCUCGCCAUCUUUGUGGUAAGGAGGCUGGGUGUGGGGACGGGGUCAGGGGAGUCUGGGCGGCCCUAGGCUGAUCCUGCUUCUCUGACAGAUCUGUCAGCUCGGCAACUUCUCCAUCCACAUGGCCCUGCGGGACCUGCGGCCCGCUGGUGAGUGCCUGCUGGGGGCAAGGGGACAGCUGGGCUGGGUGAGGGGGUCUGACUUCCUCCUUCUGUCCUGCCUGCCAGGGUCCAAGACGCGGAAGAUCCCAUACCCCACCAAGAACCCCUUCACGUGGCUCUUCCUGCUGGUGUCCUGCCCCAACUACACCUACGAGGUGGGGUCCUGGAUCGGUUUCGCCAUCAUGACGCAGUGUCUCCCAGGUGAGCCUGCCGCCCUCCCUCGGCGGGGCCCUACCCCUCCGGGCCGGCAGCCCCUCCCUGACGCCCGUUCUUUCCUGCAGUGGCCCUGUUCUCCCUGGUGGGCUUCACCCAGAUGACUAUCUGGGCCAAGGGCAAGCACCGCAGCUACCUGAAGGAGUUCCGGGACUACCCGCCCCUGCGCAUGCCCAUCAUCCCCUUCCUGCUCUGAGCGCUCACCCCUGCUGAGGCUCAGCCCCUCACCCCGGUGGCAUUCUGGGGGAGGAGUGGGGCCCACAGCUCUCCAGCACCCGGAAUAAAGCCCGCCUGCCCCAGUCG